RNAcentral lists this ribosomal RNA (478 nucleotides) under uncultured bacterium. RNAcentral's name for it is "partial 16S ribosomal RNA". It matches the Rfam family "Bacterial small subunit ribosomal RNA", at positions 28 to 507 of the family's 1533-position model. The record is from RNAcentral.
GAUGAACGCUGGCGGCGUACUUAACACAUGCCAGUCGAACGGGAAUUAUUUUAUUGAAACUUCGGUCGAUUUAAUUUAAUUCUAGUGGCGGACGGGUGAGUAACGCGUGGGUAACCUGCCUUAUACAGGGGGAUAACAGUCAGAAAUGGCUGCUAAUACCGCAUAAGCGCACAGAGCUGCAUGGCUCAGUGUGAAAAACUCCGGUGGUAUAAGAUGGACCCGCGUUGGAUUAGCUGGUUGGUGGGGUAACGGCCCACCAAGGCGACGAUCCAUAGCCGGCCUGAGAGGGUGAACGGCCACAUUGGGACUGAGACACGGCCCAGACUCCUACGGGAGGCAGCAGUGGGGAAUAUUGCACAAUGGGGGAAACCCUGAUGCAGCGACGCCGCGUGAAGGAAGAAGUAUCUCGGUAUGUAAACUUCUAUCAGCAGGGAAGAUAGUGACGGUACCUGACUAAGAAGCCCCGGCUAACUACGUG